Molecule: long non-coding RNA, 404 nt
Organism: Equus quagga
Lineage: Eukaryota; Metazoa; Chordata; Mammalia; Perissodactyla; Equidae
Exons: 3
Source: RefSeq, a predicted model, not a curated record
AGCAGAGAGGCUGCUCUGAAUUUAAAAAGUUAUUUCUGUUCGUUUAUUCCUUGCUAUGGGCACCCACAGUGUCUCAGGAACCAUAGUAGGUUCUGGGGACUAAAGAUGCGUCGGACAGGAUCCUUGGACUGAAGAAACUGCCGUCUUGUGAAAGAAACACCCCUUCACUGCGUGUACAGGCAUCCGUGGUGGACUCUGCAUCACCCCAUGGGACUCAGAGGGCGUGGGAACCUGGACAAACAUCAGAGCGACACUCUGCCUGCUGCUUUUGCCACAGGCUCGGAGGCGAGACCAUGUGAAGACACAGGGAACGUGGAAGGCCAUCUACAAGCCAAGGAGACGGGCCUCAGAAGAAACCAACCCCCUGAUGCCUCGAUCUCCAACUUGCAGCCUCCAGAACUGUG